This 821-nucleotide ribosomal RNA is filed under the name uncultured bacterium. RNAcentral describes it as "bacterial SSU rRNA". It matches the Rfam family "Bacterial small subunit ribosomal RNA", at positions 524 to 1364 of the family's 1533-position model. The record is from RNAcentral.
UACGAGGGAUGCAAGCGUUAUCCGGAAUUAUUGGGCGUAAAGCGUUUGUAGGCGGGCGAGUGUGUUUAAUGUUAAAUCUUAAAGCUCAACUUUGAAAUUGCGUUAAAAACUGCUUGUCUUGAGUAUGGUAGGGGUAAAGGGAAUUCCCAGUGUAGCGGUGAAAUGCGUAGAUAUUGGGAAGAACACUAAACAGCGAAGGCACUUUACUAGGCUAAUACUGACGCUGAGAAACGAAAGGUAAGGUAGCGAAACGGAUUAGAUACCCGUGUAGUCUUACCCGUAAACUAUGGACACUAAACGGUAAAUUUUUAAUUUACUGUUAAAGCUAACGCGUUAAGUGUCCCGCCUGGGGAGUAUGCUUGCAAAAGUGAAACUCAAAGGAAUUGACGGGGGCCCGCACAAGCGGUGGAGCAUGUGGUUUAAUUCGACGGUACACGAAGAACCUUACCAGGAUUUGACAUGCUAGAUAGUUGCUUGAAAGAGUAACGUGCCGUAAGGAAUCUAGACACAGGUGGUGCAUGGCUGUCGUCAGUUCGUGUUGUGAAAUGUUGGGUUAAGUCCCGCAACGAACGCAACCCUUGUCUUUAGUUAUUUUCUAAAGAGACUGCCUGUAAUAAACAGGAGGAAGGUAAGGAUGAGGUCAAGUCAUCAUGCCCCUUAUGUCCUGGGCUACACACGUGCUACAAUGGGAAAGACAAUGAGCUGCAAAUCUGUAAAUUUAAGCAAAUCUCUUAAACUUUCUCGUAGUUCGGAUUGUGGGCUGCAACUCGCCCACAUGAAGUUGGAAUCGCUAGUAAUCGCCAGUCAGCUAUAUGGCGGUG